AACGCACAUUGCGCCCGCCAGUAUUCUGGCGGGCAUGCCUGUUCGAGCGUCAUUUCAACCAUCAAGCCCCCGGCUUGUGUUGGGGACCUGCGGCUGCCGCAGGCCCUGAAAAGCAGUGGCGGGCUCGCUGUCACACCGAGCGUAGUAGCAUACAUCUCGCUCUGGGCGUGCUGCGGGUUCCGGCCGUUAAACCACCUUUUAACCCAAGGUUGACCUCGGAUCAGGUAGGAAGACCCGCUGAACUUAA
RNAcentral lists this unclassified non-coding RNA (247 nucleotides) under uncultured Chaetomium. Its description in RNAcentral is "sequence contains ITS2". The stretch from base 1 to 52 matches the Rfam family "5.8S ribosomal RNA", at positions 103 to 154 of the family's 154-position model. Lineage: Eukaryota; Fungi; Ascomycota; Sordariomycetes; Sordariales; Chaetomiaceae. The record is from RNAcentral.